Molecule: ribosomal RNA, 465 nt
Filed under: Vreelandella stevensii
Lineage: Bacteria; Pseudomonadati; Pseudomonadota; Gammaproteobacteria; Oceanospirillales; Halomonadaceae
Description: partial 16S ribosomal RNA
Rfam family: Bacterial small subunit ribosomal RNA
Source: RNAcentral
CCUACGGGUGGCUGCAGUGGGGAAUAUUGGACAAUGGGCGCAAGCCUGAUCCAGCCAUGCCGCGUGUGUGAAGAAGGCCUUCGGGUUGUAAAGCACUUUCAGUGGGGAAGAAAGCCUUGGGGCUAAUACCCUCGAGGAAGGACAUCACCCACAGAAGAAGCACCGGCUAACUCCGUGCCAGCAGCCGCGGUAAUACGGAGGGUGCGAGCGUUAAUCGGAAUUACUGGGCGUAAAGCGCGCGUAGGCGGUCUGAUAAGCCGGUUGUGAAAGCCCCGGGCUCAACCUGGGAACGGCAUCCGGAACUGUCAGGCUAGAGUGCAGGAGAGGAAGGUAGAAUUCCCGGUGUAGCGGUGAAAUGCGUAGAGAUCGGGAGGAAUACCAGUGGCGAAGGCGGCCUUCUGGACUGACACUGACGCUGAGGUGCGAAAGCGUGGGUAGCAAACAGGAUUAGAUACCCGUGUAGUC